AAAUUGAAGAGUUUGAUCAUGGCUCAGAUUGAACGCUGGCGGCAGGCCUAACACAUGCAAGUCGAACGGUAACAGGAAGCAGCUUGCUGCUUCGCUGACGAGUGGCGGACGGGUGAGUAAUGUCUGGGAAGCUGCCUGAUGGAGGGGGAUAACUACUGGAAACGGUGGCUAAUACCGCAUAACGUCGCAAGACCAAAGAGGGGGACCUUCGGGCCUCUUGCCAUCAGAUGUGCCCAGAUGGGAUUAGCUAGUUGGUGAGGUAACGGCUCACCAAGGCGACGAUCCCUAGCUGGUCUGAGAGGAUGACCAGCCACACUGGAACUGAGACACGGUCCAGACUCCUACGGGAGGCAGCAGUGGGGAAUAUUGCACAAUGGGCGCAAGCCUGAUGCAGCCAUGCCGCGUGUAUGAAGAAGGCCUUAGGGUUGUAAAGUACUUUCAGCGGGGAGGAAGGUGUUGCGGUUAAUAACCGCAGCAAUUGACGUUACCCGCAGAAGAAGCACCGGCUAACUCCGUGCCAGCAGCCGCGGUAAUACGGAGGGUGCAAGCGUUAAUCGGAAUUACUGGGCGUAAAGCGCACGCAGGCGGUCUGUCAAGUCGGAUGUGAAAUCCCCGGGCUCAACCUGGGAACUGCAUUCGAAACUGGCAGGCUUGAGUCUUGUAGAGGGGGGUAGAAUUCCAGGUGUAGCGGUGAAAUGCGUAGAGAUCUGGAGGAAUACCGGUGGCGAAGGCGGCCCCCUGGACAAAGACUGACGCUCAGGUGCGAAAGCGUGGGGAGCAAACAGGAUUAGAUACCCUGGUAGUCCACGCCGUAAACGAUGUCUACUUGGAGGUUGUGCCCUUGAGGCGUGGCUUCCGGAGCUAACGCGUUAAGUAGACCGCCUGGGGAGUACGGCCGCAAGGUUAAAACUCAAAUGAAUUGACGGGGGCCCGCACAAGCGGUGGAGCAUGUGGUUUAAUUCGAUGCAACGCGAAGAACCUUAC
Molecule: ribosomal RNA, 984 nt
Filed under: Salmonella enterica
Lineage: Bacteria; Pseudomonadati; Pseudomonadota; Gammaproteobacteria; Enterobacterales; Enterobacteriaceae
Description: bacterial SSU rRNA
Rfam family: Bacterial small subunit ribosomal RNA
Source: RNAcentral